CAGCAGCCGCGGUAAUACGUAGGGUGCGAGCGUUAAUCGGAAUUACUGGGCGUAAAGCGUGCGCAGGCGGCUUUGCAAGACAGAUGUGAAAUCCCCGGGCUCAACCUGGGAACUGCAUUUGUGACUGCAAGGCUAGAGUACGGUAGAGGGGGAUGGAAUUCCGCGUGUAGCAGUGAAAUGCGUAGAUAUGCGGAGGAACACCAAUGGCGAAGGCAAUCCCCUGGACCUGUACUGACGCUCAUGCACGAAAGCGUGGGGAGCAAACAGGAUUAGAUACCCGGGUAGUCCCUGUCUCUUAUAC
Molecule: ribosomal RNA, 301 nt
Filed under: uncultured bacterium
Lineage: Bacteria
Description: partial 16S ribosomal RNA
Rfam family: Bacterial small subunit ribosomal RNA
Source: RNAcentral